RNAcentral lists this ribosomal RNA (442 nucleotides) under uncultured bacterium. RNAcentral's name for it is "partial 16S ribosomal RNA". It matches the Rfam family "Bacterial small subunit ribosomal RNA", at positions 338 to 795 of the family's 1533-position model. The record is from RNAcentral.
CCUACGGGCGGCAGCAGUGAGGAAUAUUGGGCAAUGGGCGCAAGCCUGACCCAGCAACGCCGCGUGAAGGAAGAAGGCUUUCGGGUUGUUAACUUUCUUUGACAGGGAAGAGCAGAAGACGGUACCUGUCGAAUAAGCUACGGCUAACUACGUGCCAGCAGCCGCGGUAAUACGUAGGUGGCAAGCGUUAUCCGGAUUUACUGGGUGUAAAGGGCGUGUAGGCGGGACUGCAAGUCAGAUGUGAAAACCACGGGCUCAACCUGUGGCCUGCAUUUGAAACUGUAGUUCUUGAGUACUGGAGAGGCAGACGGAAUUCCUGGUGUAGCGGUGAAAUGCGUAGAUAUUAGGAGGAACACCAGUGGCGAAGGCGGUCUGCUGGACAGCAACUGACGCUGAGGCGCGAAAGCGUGGGGAGCAAACAGGAUUAGAUACCCUAGUAGUC